GCGUCGGUAGUGUAAUGGGUCAGCAUGGCAUACCGGUUAUUUGUAAAUGUGGGUUCGAGUCUCACCUGUGGUU
RNAcentral lists this transfer RNA (73 nucleotides) under Dictyocaulus viviparus (bovine lungworm). It matches the Rfam family "tRNA". From Rfam's summary of the family: Transfer RNA (tRNA) molecules are approximately 80 nucleotides in length. The record is from Rfam by way of RNAcentral. Lineage: Eukaryota; Metazoa; Nematoda; Chromadorea; Rhabditida; Metastrongylidae.